This 113-nucleotide ribosomal RNA is filed under the name Acanthosepion pharaonis. The record is from RNAcentral. Lineage: Eukaryota; Metazoa; Mollusca; Cephalopoda; Sepiida; Sepiidae.
UUACGGCCAAAUCACGAUGAACAGUCCGGUUCUCGUUCGAUCACCGAAGUUAAUCAUCGUCGAGCCAGGUCAGUACUUAGAUUGGGUCCGCUUGGUAACACCUGGUAAUGUAA